AGUGAACGCUGGCGGUAGGCCUAACACAUGCAAGUCGAACGGCAGCACAGUAAGCGCUUGCUCUUACGGGUGGCGAGUGGCGGACGGGUGAGGAAUACAUCGGAAUCUACUUUUUCGUGGGGGAUAACGUAGGGAAACUUACGCUAAUACCGCAUACGACCUACGGGUGAAAGCAGGGGAUCUUCGGACCUUGCGCGAUUGAAUUAGCCGAUGUCGGAUUAGCUAGUUGGCGGGGUAAAGGCCCACCAAGGCGACGAUCCGUAGCUGGUCUGAGAGGAUGAUCAGCCACACUGGAACUGAGACACGGUCCAGACUCCUACGGGAGGCAGCAGUGGGGAAUAUUGGACAAUGGGCGAAAGCCUGAUGCAGCCAUACCGCGUGGGUGAAGAAGGCCUUCGGGUUGUAAAGCCCUUUUGUUGGGAAAGAAAAGAUGCAGGUUAAUCCACCGAUGUUCUGACGGUACCCAAAGAAUAAGCAACGGCUAACUUCGUG
This 492-nucleotide ribosomal RNA is filed under the name uncultured bacterium. Its description in RNAcentral is "partial 16S ribosomal RNA". It matches the Rfam family "Bacterial small subunit ribosomal RNA", at positions 29 to 507 of the family's 1533-position model. The record is from RNAcentral.